RNAcentral lists this ribosomal RNA (379 nucleotides) under uncultured archaeon. RNAcentral describes it as "bacterial SSU rRNA". It matches the Rfam family "Archaeal small subunit ribosomal RNA", at positions 345 to 727 of the family's 1478-position model. The record is from RNAcentral.
AUAUUCUGCAAUGCGCGCAAGCGUGACAGAUUGAACCAGAGUGUCCUUCAAAGAAGGACUUUUAUCGAAUGUAAAAAGUUCGAUGAAUAAGGACUGGGUAAGACGAGUGCCAGCCGCCGCGGUAAUACUCGCGGUCCAAGUCGCAGCCAUUUUUAUUGGGUCUAAAACAUCCGUAGCUUGCUUAAUAAGUUUCUUGUGAAAUCUUAUGUCUUAAACAUGAGGCGUGCAGGAAGUACUGUCAAGCUAGAGACCGGAAGACGUAAGAAGUACGUUCGAAGUAACGGUAAAAUGUGUUAAUCUCGAACGGACUCACAAUAGCGAAGGCAUCUUACGAGUACGGUUCUGACAGUCAGGGAUGAAGGCUAGGGGCGCAAAACGG